Molecule: ribosomal RNA, 258 nt
Filed under: uncultured soil bacterium
Lineage: Bacteria
Description: partial 16S ribosomal RNA
Rfam family: Bacterial small subunit ribosomal RNA
Source: RNAcentral
AGGACGAACGCUGGCGGCGCGCUUAACACAUGCAAGUCGAACGGGCAGCCUUCGGGUUGUCAGUGGCGGACGGGUGCGUAACACGUAAGCGACCUGCCUUCAGGUGGGGGAUAACCCCGGGAAACCGGGGCUAAUACCGCAUGUGCUCUUGGGGCUGCAUGGCUUUGAGAGGAAAGCUCCCUUUAAAGGAGCGCUUGGAGAGGGGCUUGCGGCGUAUCAGCUAGUUGGCGAGGUAACGGCUCACCAAGGCGAUGACGC